Molecule: non-coding RNA, 93 nt
Filed under: Lysobacteraceae bacterium
Lineage: Bacteria; Pseudomonadati; Pseudomonadota; Gammaproteobacteria; Lysobacterales; Lysobacteraceae
Description: Xanthomonadaceae bacterium Glycine sequence
Rfam family: Glycine riboswitch aptamer
About the family: This family represents the bacterial glycine riboswitch. Glycine riboswitches usually consist of two metabolite-binding aptamers domains with similar structures in tandem.
Source: RNAcentral
CGCGAACACUCUGGAGAGACCGGCAGCGCCGGCGCCGAAGGGGCAAGAAGCGCAGGCUUCGAAACUCUCAGGCAAAAGGACAGAGGGGCGCCC